This 281-nucleotide ribosomal RNA is filed under the name uncultured bacterium. Its description in RNAcentral is "partial 16S ribosomal RNA". It matches the Rfam family "Bacterial small subunit ribosomal RNA", at positions 335 to 603 of the family's 1533-position model. The record is from RNAcentral.
ACUCCUACGGGGAGGCAGCAGUGGGGAAUAUUGCACAAUGGGCGCAAGCCUGAUGCAGCCAUGCCGCGUGUAUGAAGAAGGCCUUCGGGUUGUAAAAGUACUUUUCAGCAGUGAGGAAGGUGGAGUCGUUAAAUAGCGGCCUCAUUUUGACGUUAGCUGCAGAAGAAGCACCGGCUAACUCCGUGCCAGCAGCCGCGGUAAUACGGAGGGUGCGAGCGUUAAUCGGAAUUACUGGGCGUAAAGCGCAUGCAGGUGGUUUGUUAAGUCAGAUGUGAAAGCCC